Molecule: long non-coding RNA, 1162 nt
Organism: Camelus dromedarius (Arabian camel)
Lineage: Eukaryota; Metazoa; Chordata; Mammalia; Artiodactyla; Camelidae
Exons: 3
Source: RefSeq, a predicted model, not a curated record
GGGUGUGAGCCGACGUGGGCGCGAAUGAGGGACUGCGGCUGGGCCGGCGGGUGGCGCGGGGCUCUGAGCCCGACAGCGGGGACAGGCGCGCGGCGCGGGGUCGGGGAGGGCGUCAGACCCUGGCCGCGGUGGAGGGCGGCCUAGCGGGGCUGCCCGGCGACCUGCGUCCGAGCGCGCGGAACGCUGCGCCUCGCUGGGGACAGUCCGGAGUCCGCGCUGUGGAAGAGGAGGAAUACUUGCCGGAGCUGAUGGCGGAGAAAGAGCCUGGAUCCCUGGUUUGAGCACCGUCGCGCCUUUUGGCCGAAGUUGGUGAACAAUAUUAUAUAAGACACAAGUGGACAAUACAGCGACUCACAAGGCAUUUCUCCUGGAGAGCUAGCCGCAUGUUUGCAUCUAUGUGUCGCACUCAGAACAGAUCUUCGUCUGUCUGCUCAUUAAAAUCCAGGAGCUACAGCAUAAAAGCAUAAAGAAAAGGACCCUCACACUGCAGCCCAAACUUUGCUGCACGUGAUCAAUACACGCCAGGCGGAGGUGCGUCUCCUCAAUUGUCUGUUACAGAUGUGCGUGAUGCCCUGUGUCCAGGUAGCAGCCCCUGUGCCGCGCCGGCAGGAGUGCUGUUCAUGGAAGGUUCACCUGCUACCUCGCCUCCCAGCCAGCUGGAGGCAAACCAGACUGAUAGCCCUGAACCAGCGCGGCACAGCCCUGAUGAUCUUACACCAGGCAGCCUGAUGUACUGCUCUGUCAUCUACCAAUCCCUUUCCAAUAUAGAUCCGUUCCUAAAUGAGCCGUCCCUUGUUUUGUACCAUGAGCAGUAAUUUAAAAAGCAGCACAUUGGUUUUAACUAAUAUUAUGAAGGCUUUGGAUGUGCACAUGCUUACAGCUGAGUGGGCUUCACUCAUCUUUCACUGCACAACAAAGGAUCCUGAUUAAAGUUCAGACACAGGGAAAGAGAAAUGUGUCUGCAAUUGAAUGUGUCAAAACUUAUACCUGCUCUGUUUUAUUAUAAAUCUCGUUUCAGUAUCAGUGGUGAUUUUCUUCCCUGAGUUUUCAACAAAAUGGAAAGAGCAUCCUUAAGCCCAGGAGAGAACAUAAGAAAUGGGGGGAAGUGCUUUUUGUAAAAUGCUGUUGUCCUACUAUAAAUGCAGUUCGCUUUAAAAAAUAA